Molecule: long non-coding RNA, 714 nt
Organism: Papaver somniferum (opium poppy)
Lineage: Eukaryota; Viridiplantae; Streptophyta; Magnoliopsida; Ranunculales; Papaveraceae
Exons: 2
Source: RefSeq, a predicted model, not a curated record
CAGAUUUUCUGUGAAUUGUUUUUUUAAUUUUCUGAUGUUUGACAAAAAAAUUCUUUUGAAAAAAUCAAAAUUCAUUCGAAAAUAAAGUGCUAAGAAAACACUUAAAAGCUACAAUAAAUUGGAAGCACUUGAAGGUUGAUUCCAACUGUUGUUCUUAAAAAUCCUCUAGUCGUGGAUGAAGUACCCAAACUCAAAAUGUUUAAAGGAUUUUCUAUUAAUUAAGCUGCUCAGAUUUUGGGUAUAAAAUUCUUUCAUACUUCUCCAUUAAUUGUUCUGCUGGUGAGCGAGAGAGGACAACAACGUGAAUAAUCCUAAGAGAGUUUUGAUAUGGUGUUUCAACGUAGCAAUGUACCCCUUUUCCGGAUUGUUGAGUCUAUUCGCCUAUUCGAGUGUCAUAUCGCGAGCAGUGGAACCUAAAGAUUACUUAGUUCAGCAAGAAAGGGUCACACCAGUAUACGUAAGCGCAGCUUCCAUUAAUCGCUUCAAAAGGACAGACCGGACGAUGUAACCAAAAAUACAACUACGAGUUGUUUUUCCUUUGUUAAAAGAAACAUUAAACUGCAACUACAUGCUUUUUAAUUGCAACAAUUUAAUGUUAAGAGUCUGUCCUUUCUGUAUAACAGAAUUGAUGUCUGUUACAUGACUUGUCCGUUACAUCUUUUACGUAUAUUUGUGUAUCCGUAUUUUCUGUUUAUCAGAAACUUUCUUACGAAA